UCACUUUGUGGAAGCUGGUGUUUUUAGAGU
This 30-nucleotide non-coding RNA is filed under the name Rattus norvegicus (Norway rat). Lineage: Eukaryota; Metazoa; Chordata; Mammalia; Rodentia; Muridae. The record is from RNAcentral.